RNAcentral lists this ribosomal RNA (2412 nucleotides) under Triticum aestivum (bread wheat). Its description in RNAcentral is "partial small subunit ribosomal RNA". The record is from RNAcentral. Lineage: Eukaryota; Viridiplantae; Streptophyta; Magnoliopsida; Poales; Poaceae.
CAACCGACCCAACCGACGCGGGCGCACGUCCUCCAAAAGGGGUUAGGCGUGGGGCGCAAGGGGUCGGUUAGGAGGAGCGGAGCAGGGUGAGGGCGUGGUCGGUGGUGGGUUUGGGAUCGGGUGAAAAGGGAGCUAGGGGUCUUGGAGAGGGCGGAGAUAGGGAGGAGGAGCGCAGUGGUGCCGGAGGUGGGGCCUCGGAGCGGCGGCGGACUAUUAUGAGGAGGUGGUGCGAUCGGGGAGGUGGAGUGGAAGGAAGAAAAACAGUAGACGCGGGCAGUAACUACGGACCAAGGUCUAGCCCGCGCCCAAUCCGCUCCAGCUACCACCCCACUUACCCGUCCCCUCCGCCCGCUGUUCCCGUCCGUUGUCAGCCGGGCAGCGCUACACCAGUUCGAUGUCCCUUCUCCCUCCUCCAGCCGCUGUCCCACUUCCUCGUCCGGCCGGGAGUACCUCCGUCGCGAUAGUCGGUCGAUCCCUCCGCCAGGCCGAGCGGAGACGAUACGGCACUCGUCGCCGCGAUGGAGCCGGAGCUCGGAGUGGAGGAGACGGUUAGAGGACGGCGCUCUGUCACGGAAGGGUGCAAGAGUUAGACCGCAAUGGCACGUACCACCAAAGUCUAGCCCGCGUCCAGCGUCGGUACCUUCAUUCCCCGUACCACCAAAGACACUACACAUACCUCCUCGCCACCUUCCACUCCUACUGCCUGUCCACCCUUCCGCGUUGUUCUGACCUCGACGUUGCGAGCGUAGUACCACCGCACCUCGGCAGGUAGUGAUGGGUAGCUGAGGUCAAAUCUAUACAUGUUGUCAGCGGGGCAGCGCUACACCACUUUGAUGUCCCUUCUCCCUCCUCCGGCCGCUGUCCCACUUCCUCGUCCGGCCGGGAGUACCUCCGUCGCGAUGGUCGAUCGAUCCCUCCGCCAGGCCGAGCGGAGACGAUACGGCACUCGCCGUCGCGAUGGAGACGGAGGUCGGAGUGGAGGAGACGGUUGGUACCCUUUUAAAUCCCCUCUGGGUUCUUAUUAUUAAGCUCACCUACCGUUACGCGGAACAACAAAUCGCCAUACUACCAGCCACUAUCAUACAAGAUAUAUAUAACGUUCCUAGUAUUCUACGAAAAUGUGUACUAACACACUACGAGUCUCUGUAAAACGUGUCAUCUUUGAAGAACACUUCGAACUAAAAUAAGUCUACCACUAAACCCGACUUUCUAAUAACGUUCGUAUCUUAGAAAAUUUACAGGAAUAACUGUACCAAACAUACUAUUUGAAGGUUUUAUAAGUAAAUUGCAACGAUAAAAAGAAAAGUCUCGGUAUACUAAAAAAAUAUCUUUUACACGUCUCAUUUUACCUGUGUCGAAGACCAUGUAGACUCGUGGCUGCUGGUGUUACCCUACCUAGUUCGUCGGUUCUGAGUCUCACACCAGCCCGCCGCGGUACCCCGUCUAGACACGCCACGUUCCCCGCCAUCUACACUUUGACUUCGAAGGGGCGAUUGAAGCUUCGUCAGUUAACUCGUCUACCUGUACUGCUCACUCCUAACCACGACGGCGGGGACCAUCCUCGGGUUACAGGAUUAGCUUGAUGACAGUACCUCUCCCGUUAUGCACCUAAACGAAGUCUAUAACCUCUGUUGCGGUAACACGGCUUCGAGCCUUGUUAGAAGCUAUGUAACCCACUUCGUAUGCUAAAAAUGUUAGACAUAAAUACCCUCUUUCCUAAACCGUAAACUAUACCAUUUUCAACAGACUUACAACUCUCCUGCACCUUUAGAUAACACCUAUUAUGACCAGAACGGCCGCAAUCACGGGAUGAGACUAUUCCGACGACGUCAGACUUGGUAAGUAACAGAGCGUGCAUACGCGUCUGCUAUGUGACUACUAGCGUGUUCGUGUAGUUGCACAUGUCGUCCCUAAACUACUUCUUAAACUCCGUCUUGUUACACUUGGGACGAUUUCACGUGUUGUAAUCCGUCAAAGAAACCCAGCUACCUCUUACACGGAAAGUGUUUUUCUCGAAGUUCCUCGAACACACCGUUUUAUUCGGCGCUCGUUGGCCGACUACUACAAUCAAUUUGCUACCUCCACAAACGCCUCGAACCAAGUUUCCUAGGAGUGAAGUGUAUAGUACACGUCCGGCUAUUCCUCCUCUCCUAUUUGCGUGAGUACACACAUUUACCCCUGUCAUCCGACCACGUUUUUUCUGACCUCGAAUAAGAGUUUAAAAGACAGAGAUUAUGACUUAAACCACACAUGGCUAUUUAGUACAUCGCGCACUCUAGGUAGUACGUCAAAUUGACGAUUAGGGUUAAUACAAUACGUACGGGACUUCGACUACUUAAACACAAGAGGAUAUGACUUUACAGUUUAACUAACACACAUACUAAUCUAUGAAGACAUCUUUCAUGUAACUUG